Molecule: non-coding RNA, 2552 nt
Organism: Heterocephalus glaber (naked mole-rat)
Lineage: Eukaryota; Metazoa; Chordata; Mammalia; Rodentia; Bathyergidae
Source: RefSeq, a predicted model, not a curated record
AGCGCCCGUGCCCUCCGGAGAGAGAGGUCCCUCUGGCCCUCGUCUCCAACUCGGGCCGGCUUUCUGUGCCUUUAACACUUGCAAAAUGUCCAGGAAGCAAGGCUUAUUUAGAAUACAGUAGAAUUUGAAGGGGCAAGACUUUUCAGAAGUGGGCAGAGGGUCUGAGAAACUUAGAAAAGGAAAAGCAAUUAACAGGUUCUCUCCUUUCGUCCUGCCCGCGGGGACCUGAGCACCUGACAAGUGGCCAGUCCGAAGGCUUAGUAUGAAAAUAACGAAAAUGUCUCGCUAACAAUUUUUACAUCGAUUACAUGUUGAGAUAAUAUAUUGAUAUAUUAGAUGAAAAUAUAUUGAAAUUGUACUUUGAAAAUAUAGCUAUCAGAAAAAAUUUCAAUUGCACGUAUGACUCGCAUUAGUUUUCUUUUGGACGGCAGUGCUCUUUUUGUGGUUAAGUGAGUUUGUUUAGAUACUGAGGAUUUAUGGGUCCUGCAAAAUGUCUGUAGUGCUAUUUGCCAUCACUAGAUGGCUGCCUCAUUCAACAGACUAGUUUUAUAUUUCCAUCUAACAACUACCAAGAAUUCCACAUAUUUUCAGAGAUUCGAUCGACUUUUUCUGUAACACUGACUGUAAACACAAACCUGAAGUAAAGGCCCUGAGCUUAAAAAGUUGGUUGUAUUCCUGUGGUCCAAGGACAUUAUCAUCAUUGGUUCGGAAAGCCACAAUCAGAAGAUGAUACGUGAACAAUACCUGGAGAGAGCAGGUGGCGAAACCAAUGAGCUAAAUCCCCGGCCCAUGGGACAACUUUUAAAAAGAAAAGGACACCUUAAUAAUUAUUUCAGGACAAAAGGCAAAAGCUGCAGCUGUGUACAGGAAAAUCGUGUUGCAUGGCCAUCCUCGUCACAGACCAUUGCAGUGCUCAAGGCAAGAGUUCUUGGUGGCUUGGAUAAUGACAGUGACAGAAAAAUAGGGAUUGAACUCAGGACCUUGCGCUUGUGGAGCGGCCGUGGUGCUAUUGAGCUAAACCCCCAGCCCUAUUUAAAAAUAUUUCUUCAUUGUUCAAGUUGUAGAAGUAAAGAUGGCUGCUUAGACCUUGUGAAGGAAUAGCAGACCAGUUCCAAGCAUGAUGCAGCUGCAGUAUUACAGGACCAAGACUCUGUGAGUUAAAGAAACAGGAUGAACACAGGAAUGAAAGCCAAGCAGCAAGCUGUCAAGUCACAGAGGAGAGAGUCAGAGACAGGCCAAGCCAGGAAGUAGGAUCAGUUAAGAGUGCUAGAGAGGGUGCAAAGGACCCUGAAGAGAAUCCUCAUGUCCUGGAACACUCAGCCUGAUCUGAAAAACAGUCUUCCCCCAGUGUAGCUGCAGAGAAGGGGGGUGAUUGUGGACAUUUACCACCCAUACUAGAUGGAUCCAGCCUGGGUUAAGGUGACUAUUCUGACUCCUUCCAGUCCCUCACACCUCUUCAUCUUGUAACAGAAAUGUUCUUUCCUGUGGACAAUUCAUCCCACAUAGCAUAAGGCUGACCUCACAUACCUGGGGUGACAGCCUUCCUGGAUUUCCUGGGACUGAGGGGUUUCUUGGGAAAUAGGACCUUCAGUUUUAAAACUGAAAGAAUCCUAGGAAAUGUGGGAUGAGUUGGUUACCUUGAUCCUCAUGAUAAUCACUCUUUCACUGUAAAGAAACACAUAUAUUACCCUAAUUUGGGCUGAUGGAUGUCCUUCCCAGGACAUUAACUUAUUUUCAAAGUUGGGCCCAUUAACUCAGGCUGGAUUAAGUCAAUAGGAUGGAUGUUGUGAUCUGCUGGUGAUCAUUACCCCUUAUAGGGCAAAUAUCUGUCUGAGAGAUAAAGCUUGAAUUCCAAUCUCUGAUGACUAUCUUACCCAGCUAAGUAUGAAACAAACACUACUUGAGAAACUUUUAGGACAGGAGCUAAUAAACUUCUGCCUAAAUUUGGAUUUGGUUUUUGGCGUGGCUUAAUAUAGUUGGUACUUUGGAUAGAAGACAUGAGACUUAUGUGUAUAGGCAUCUUACCUACAAGAGGUCUCUCACUUCAUGAGAUAUAAGAGCUGACACUGGAGAUAUUUAGGGCUAUAGUAUGGAACUGCCUAAACUACAAACUCCUCUGCUUUAGCCAAUGAUUGGUCACAUGAUUGCCUCUUUUAUAUUGUCUUUCUCUAUCUACUAACACAACCUUUUCUUGAUUAGACAGUUCCUUGAUUCUUCUGCUGGGUGUUGCCAGUGCCUCCUUGCCAUGCUGAUGGUUCCAGGUGGUUCCAACUUUCUCUCCCAUAUCAUGUAACUUUGACUAGUUCAUUGGAUAGGGUAGAGCACAGGUAGUGGUGAAUUUAUACUAAAGUUUUGUGAAGAUUCUGAAUCAGGGUUGAGCUAUGAAGGAUGCUGCCAUAGCUGUAUUUUUCAAAUAUUAGUGCAUAUGAGAAUGGAUUGCUGUGGUUGUUUAAAUUACAUAUUUUUAAGCCCAUUUUCAAUGAAUCUGAUUCAGUAUGUCUGGAGUGGGGCCCAUAAGCAAGCACAUGUGUAGCAAGAACUUGAAAUGAAUC